CCAAAUCCUUUGUUUGGGUGAAGUUAAAAGAAAUGGAUUUGGAUAUGGCCCAAAUCCAUCUUGAAUUUCAGGGGUCCAAAUCCAUGGAUUUUAAAUCCCCUCACAAACCCAAGAAUUUUGAAAUCCCUCGCCCAGCCCUCACGCUCGUGCUCUCUUCUCAAUCCUUCAUCGGCUCCAGAAACUCUACCAAAAAAAAAAAAAAAACUCUGUCACGCAGACUCACGCUCUCACUUCCUCGACCAAACUUUUCUUCUUUCUCUCUUUCUCGCGACAUGCAGUGCUGUGUAUCCUUUGAAUUCUCCCAUUGCACAACAACCAUGUCAACAUUCGUUAUCAACAAGUUCUGUAGCUGAG
Molecule: long non-coding RNA, 354 nt
Organism: Quercus lobata
Lineage: Eukaryota; Viridiplantae; Streptophyta; Magnoliopsida; Fagales; Fagaceae
Exons: 2
Source: RefSeq, a predicted model, not a curated record